UGUGGCAAGGAGUCAAGGUUUCUAAAGAAGGGGCUAAAAAUGCCUUUGUUCCCACUUUGAGCGAGUUGCCAUCAGAUCCCUGUGGGGGUGACGAGGCGUGGGGACAGAGCCAACAACUGCUAGCCACCAUGGCUGGGAGGGAGCCACGGGACAAUGGACUUCCUGCAGGAAGGCAAGACUUGAAGCAGGGGACCCAUGAGGAAACCACUGCGCUGGCCCAGGUGAGAGCUGAAGGGCCCCUGCCUGUGCUGGUAUGGAUGGAGACGGAGGAUUUGCAGCAAGAAGGUUCUUGCCAGAUGCCAGUACCUUGAUAUCGGAUUUCCCAGCCUCCAAGAACUGUAAGCUCUCCCUGUGUUGCCCAGGCUGGUCUCAAACUCCUGUGCUCAAGUGAUCCUCUUCCCUUCAGUGUCUGGAGUAGCUGGGAUUACAGGCGCACACUAUGGUAUGGACAUAAAUUUAUAAAGCUGUCCCCCAUCCCUUCUCUAUCAGGAAGGGAAGAAGUUAAUCACCAGAGGCAAUUCUAGACCCUUACCAGCCUGGAGACUAAACCAGAAGAAUCUAUAUAGCAAACCUUACUGACUAGCCCUUAUCUGCCAUUAGUUAACCCAUAUAUUUACCUUCCCACAAUUUGCUACCCUAGAAACUAAAAGCCCUUUUCCUUCAUCUUGUCACUUCUCUAAGUCUAAUCUUUGUUGAUUAAGAUGCUGUGUAAGCCCCUAUUCUAACCCCCACUUUGAAUUACUCAUCAUUCAUUGCUCAUGUGUAUAUGUUGAUACAUGUGUUAAUAAACUUCAGUUUAUUCUCCUCUUGUU
Molecule: long non-coding RNA, 812 nt
Organism: Gorilla gorilla gorilla (western lowland gorilla)
Lineage: Eukaryota; Metazoa; Chordata; Mammalia; Primates; Hominidae
Exons: 4
Source: RefSeq, a predicted model, not a curated record